Molecule: non-coding RNA, 2063 nt
Organism: Xyrichtys novacula (pearly razorfish)
Lineage: Eukaryota; Metazoa; Chordata; Actinopteri; Labriformes; Labridae
Source: the annotation of a GenBank genome assembly
CUUCGGAGGAGUUAGCGAAAUUCCAAUGUGUGCGGAUCGGCAAAAAAUGCGAAAUAACCCUUUAACCGUACAUUUGACAGAUACGCCCGCACUGACUUUUUUGUAGAUCUUAUUGAGAUACAUGUGUGUGUCAAUUUUUGUGUCAUUUUGACAAAGCGUACAGGCGUGACAGUCAAUAGUGUGAAUUUUCACCUUAGGGGGCGCUAUGGAGCCAUUUUGCAUUUUCUUGUUUGGGCGACUUCGGAAUAUCAAAUUUUUCACCAGGCCCGGUCGUCCUGCCAAAUUUCAUGAGUUUUCGCCAGUGGGAAGUGGGCCAUUUUCCAGUUCAAAGGGGAGGAAAAAUAAUAAUAAUAACACUAGGACCCCGUUGGGGCACUGGCGGGCCCGAGCUGUGUCGCGUCCCCCCCCAACGCGCUGCCUCCCCGUCCCAUUUGUGUCCUCUGGCCAUCGCCCUCUCUGGUAACGCCCAUCACUGCAAAGACCCUUUUCCUUCAUCGGCGUUUGCUGUUCUUCCUGCCAGUGCGUGUUGCUUUCACUUACACUUGCCACAGCCAGCCUCUUGAGUGCCUAGCCUAUUGGAUAUCACUGUCACCUACUCAGGACAGUCAUUACCUUUCUAUUAAUACUUUGUUUUUUAAUUUCACAUUAAUUUCCAUAUUGUAUAAACAACUGGAAAAAACUUGAGCCCCUGCCCCUGUAUAAUCAUGUGCACGUCUCUGUUCUAGCUCUAAGGUGAAUCUUCACUGCUCAUGUUCUCCUCAGAAGCAGUCACCUCACUCCCCUCAGGUUACUGUACACAUGCACCAACUGCCUGCUUCAGGUUUGGAUGGAGCUUCAUGGUUGUCUUUUGGAGAAAUGACCAGUCAAGUUGUGUUUGAAAUUUGAUUUUUUUCAGGGGCAAAAGGAGCCUCUGCAUUCUUGUCAAAUAUGUAAAUAGCAUGUUUUUGCAGGUGCUAAAAACCAGACUCUGAGUGUGUGUGUGUGCGUGUGUGUGUGUGUCUGUGUGUGUGUGUGUGUGUGUGUGUGUGUGUGUGUGUGCGUUCAAGUCACAUGACAUAUUUAACCGGAUGUAGCUGCAAGACGGAGCCUCGUUGACUCCGUUUCAACUUAUCUCAAAAGUGAGGACCUCAACCUAUAUACCAGUUUUUAAAUUGUGUUGAUAGGCCAAAUAAAACCAGAGUUAUGAUAAAUUAUGUCCGCGAUACUUUUUUUCUGCUUAUUUUGAUCACGUUCGGCGCUCGAUCGCGCUGUAUGAGACAGGAAAACAUAGCAUGCAGACAUUAGCGACAGGUCUUACAGGCGGAAAAGGCUUGCCAAAGGAAAAAAAAAACACACCACAACAUCUCUCCUAUUGGUGGAAAACUUCACCACAACAACCAAUCCAAAAUUAUAUGGUGACUGAUUGACAAGGGGCGGGCGCUUACGUUCUUCCUGCAAUAUGAGAAGGGAGGGAGGGACUCCCAGCAGGGAUGCAGUCUGGGACACGUAGUUGCAAACCUAGCGACUUUGUUGUUAGAUUCAAUGACUUUUCAGACCCCCUAACGACUUUUUUUUUAGAAAGAAAGUGACUUUUAUCGACUUCUUCUGGAGUUUAGAGACUCUGACAUGAAGCAGGCUUUCCUUACUGAGGAGUUAGCAACGCUGCUAAGGGUGCAGAGCCACACAUGCGCUCCGAGCUCUGCAUGGGAGACUGAAGCUGACAGAGCUGCAGCAGUUAGCAGGUUUCACCCUCAGAGACCACCAGGGGUUCAUGUUGAGGCAUUUUCAGUUUUUUUUUUUUUUUUGCCAUAGACACUGUCAGCACAAUCUGCAGUUACACUAACAAAAAUGCUGCAAAAAACAAAGAAUUAUGGAAAAAUUACACAUGGACUAACAUAGAGGAGGAUAUACACAAGUUUUUUACAUCAUGUUUUACAUCAUGCAUCAUUUACAUCAUGUUUUUUUGUAGUGGCAUAAAUAAAAAGUGACAUUUGUGAGACUAUACAGUGUUUUGUAAAUAAUUUUACAAAGAACACCUGGGCCAUUGCCUGCAUUUUGAUGUAAAUAGAGGUAAAUUACUAUGU